GUUUGGAUCCUGGCUCAGGAUGAACGCUAGCGGCAGGCCUAAUACAUGCAAGCCGGACGGUAAGUUGAGUAGCAAUACUUAGCCAAGAGUGUCGUACGGGUGCGUAACACGUAUGCAACCUACCCUAUACAGGAGGAUAGCCUAGGGAAACCUGGAUUAACCCUUCAUAGUAUUAUUGGAUGGCAUCAUUUGAUAAUUAAAACUGAGGUGGUAUAGGAUGGGCAUGCGUCUGAUUAGUUAGUUGGCGGGGUAAUGGCCCACCAAGACGAUGAUCAGUAGGGGGUUCUGAGAGGAAGAUCCCCCACACUGGCACUGAGAUACGGGCCAGACUCCUACGGGAGGCAGCAGUAGGGAAUAUUGGUCAAUGGAUGCAAGUCUGAACCAGCCAUGCCGCGUGCAGGAAGAAGGCCUUCUGGGUUGUAAACUGCUUUUGCCAGGGGAUAAAAUUUCCAUGCGUGGAAAACUGAAGGUACCUGGUGAAUAAGCCACGGCUAACUACGUG
This 502-nucleotide ribosomal RNA is filed under the name uncultured bacterium. Its description in RNAcentral is "bacterial SSU rRNA". It matches the Rfam family "Bacterial small subunit ribosomal RNA", at positions 11 to 507 of the family's 1533-position model. The record is from RNAcentral.